This 403-nucleotide ribosomal RNA is filed under the name uncultured bacterium. RNAcentral describes it as "bacterial SSU rRNA". It matches the Rfam family "Bacterial small subunit ribosomal RNA", at positions 359 to 757 of the family's 1533-position model. The record is from RNAcentral.
GUUUGGACAAUGGGCGCAAGCCUGAUCCAGCAAUGCCGCGUGAGUGAAGAAGGCCUUCGGGUUGUAAAGCUCUUUUGUCAGGGAAGAAACGGUGAGCUCUAAUACAGUUUGCUAAUGACGGUACCUGAAGAAUAAGCACCGGCUAACUACGUGCCAGCAGCCGCGGUAAUACGUAGGGUGCAAGCGUUAAUCGGAAUUACUGGGCGUAAAGCGUGCGCAGGCGGUUAUGUAAGUCAGAUGUGAAAUCCCCGGGCUCAACCUGGGAAUGGCAUUUGAGACUGCAUGGCUAGAGUGUGUCAGAGGGGGGUAGAAUUCCACGUGUAGCAGUGAAAAGCGUAGAGAUGUGGAGGAAUACCGAUGGCGAAGGCAGCCCCCUGGGAUAACACUGACGCUCAUGCACGAA